UAAUACAUGCAAGUCGAGCGAUGAGGCUCCUUCGGGAGUACAUCAGCGGCGAACGGGUGAGUAACACGUGGGUGACUUGCCCCGAAGAUGGGGAUAACCUCUGGAAACGGGGGCUAAUACCCAAUGUGCUCGGUGAUUCGGUUCAUCGAGUAAAGCUCCGGCGCUUCGGGAGAGGCCUGCGGCCCAUCAGCUAGUUGGUAGGGUAACGGCCUACCAAGGCAGAGACGGGUAGGGGGCGUGAGAGCGCGGACCCCCACACUGGCACUGAGAUACGGGCCAGACUCCUACGGGAGGCAGCAGUAAGGGAUAUUGCGCAAUGGACGAAAGUCAGACGCAGCGACGCCGCGUGGGCGAUGAAGGCCUUCGGGUUGUAAAGCCCUUUUAUGGGGGAAGAGAAAAAGGACGGUACCCCAGGAAUAAGUCCCGGCUAACUACGUGCCAGCAGCCGCGGUAAAACGUAGGGGACAAGCGUUAUCCGGAUUCACUGGGCGUAAAGAGCGUUGAGGCGGUUCCGUAAGUUGGGCGUGAAAGCUCCGGGCUUAACUCGGAGAUGUCGUUCAAUACUGCGGGGCUUGAGGACAGCAGAGGAAGGUGGAAUUCCCGGUGUAGUGGUGAAAUGCGUAGAUAUCGGGAGGAACAGCCGUGGAGAAGGCGGCCUUCUGGGCUGUUCCUGACGCUGA
Molecule: ribosomal RNA, 680 nt
Filed under: uncultured organism
Description: bacterial SSU rRNA
Rfam family: Bacterial small subunit ribosomal RNA
Source: RNAcentral